UUAAGUUAGAAAGGGCGCACGGUGGAUGCCUUGACACUAGGAGUCGAUGAAGGACGGGACUAACGCCGAUAUGCUUCGGGGAGCUGUAAGUAAGCUUUGAUCCGAAGAUUUCCGAAUGGGGAAACCCACCAUACGUAAUGGUAUGGUAUCCUUAUCUGAAUACAUAGGGUAAGGAAGACAGACCCAGGGAACUGAAACAUCUAAGUACCUGGAGGAAGAGAAAGCAAAUGCGAUUUCCUGAGUAGCGGCGAGCGAAACGGAACAUAGCCCAAACCAAGAGGCUUGCCUCUUGGGGUUGUAGGACAUUCUAUACGGAGUUACAAAGGAACGAGGUAGACGAAGCGACCUGGAAAGGUCCGUCGUAGAGGGUAACAACCCCGUAGUCGAAACUUCGUUCUCUCUUGAAUGUAUCCUGAGUACGGCGGAACACGUGAAAUUCCGUCGGAAUCUGGGAGGACCAUCUCCCAAGGCUAAAUACUCCCUAGUGAUCGAUAGUGAACCAGUACCGUGAGGGAAAGGUGAAAAGCACCCCGGAAGGGGAGUGAAAGAGAUCCUGAAACCGUGUGCCUACAAAUAGUCAGAGCCCGUUAACGGGUGAUGGCGUGCCUUUUGUAGAAUGAACCGGCGAGUUACGAUCCCGUGCGAGGUUAAGCUGAAGAGGCGGAGCCGCAGCGAAAGCGAGUCUGAAUAGGGCGUUUAGUACGUGGUCGUAGACCCGAAACCAGGUGAUCUACCCAUGUCCAGGGUGAAGUUCAGGUAACACUGAAUGGAGGCCCGAACCCACGCACGUUGAAAAGUGCGGGGAUGAGGUGUGGGUAGCGGAGAAAUUCCAAUCGAACCUGGAGAUAGCUGGUUCUCCCCGAAAUAGCUUUAGGGCUAGCCUUAAGUGUAAGAGUCUUGGAGGUAGAGCACUGAUUGGACUAGGGGUCCUCAUCGGAUUACCGAAUUCAGUCAAACUCCGAAUGCCAAUGACUUAUCCUUAGGAGUCAGACUGCGAGUGAUAAGAUCCGUAGUCAAAAGGGAAACAGCCCAGACCGCCAGCUAAGGUCCCAAAGUGUGUAUUAAGUGGAAAAGGAUGUGGAGUUGCUUAGACAACUAGGAUGUUGGCUUAGAAGCAGCCACCAUUUAAAGAGUGCGUAAUAGCUCACUAGUCGAGUGACUCUGCGCCGAAAAUGUACCGGGGCUAAAUACACCACCGAAGCUGCGGAUUGAUACCAAUGGUAUCAGUGGUAGGGGAGCGUUCUAAGGACAGUGAAGUCAGACCGGAAGGACUGGUGGAGUGCUUAGAAGUGAGAAUGCCGGUAUGAGUAGCGAAAGACGGGUGAGAAUCCCGUCCACCGAAUGCCUAAGGUUUCCUGAGGAAGGCUCGUCCGCUCAGGGUUAGUCAGGACCUAAGCCGAGGCCGACAGGCGUAGGCGAUGGACAACAGGUUGAUAUUCCUGUACCACCUCUUUAUCGUUUGAGCAAUGGAGGGACGCAGAAGGAUAGAAGAAGCGUGCGAUUGGUUGUGCACGUCCAAGCAGUUAGGCUGAUAAGUAGGCAAAUCCGCUUAUCGUAAAGGCUGAGCUGUGAUGGGGAAGCUCCUUAUGGAGCGAAGUCUUUGAUUCCCCGCUGCCAAGAAAAGCUUCUAGCGAGAUAAAAGGUGCCUGUACCGCAAACCGACACAGGUAGGCGAGGAGAGAAUCCUAAGGUGUGCGAGAGAACUCUGGUUAAGGAACUCGGCAAAAUGACCCCGUAACUUCGGGAGAAGGGGUGCUUUCUUAACGGAAAGCCGCAGUGAAUAGGCCCAAGCGACUGUUUAGCAAAAACACAGCUCUCUGCGAAGCCGUAAGGCGAAGUAUAGGGGGUGACACCUGCCCGGUGCUGGAAGGUUAAGGAGAGGGGUUAGCGUAAGCGAAGCUCUGAACUGAAGCCCCAGUAAACGGCGGCCGUAACUAUAACGGUCCUAAGGUAGCGAAAUUCCUUGUCGGGUAAGUUCCGACCCGCACGAAAGGUGUAACGAUUUGGGCACUGUCUCAACCAGAGACUCGGUGAAAUUAUAGUACCUGUGAAGAUGCAGGUUACCCGCGACAGGACGGAAAGACCCCGUGGAGCUUUACUGUAGCCUGAUAUUGAAUUUUGGUACAGUUUGUACAGGAUAGGCGGGAGCCAUUGAAACCGGAGCGCUAGCUUCGGUGGAGGCGCUGGUGGGAUACCGCCCUGACUGUAUUGAAAUUCUAACCUACGGGUCUUAUCGACCCGGGAGACAGUGUCAGGUGGGCAGUUUGACUGGGGCGGUCGCCUCCUAAAGUGUAACGGAGGCGCCCAAAGGUUCCCUCAGAAUGGUUGGAAAUCAUUCGUAGAGUGCAAAGGCAUAAGGGAGCUUGACUGCGAGACCUACAAGUCGAGCAGGGACGAAAGUCGGGCUUAGUGAUCCGGUGGUUCCGUAUGGAAGGGCCAUCGCUCAACGGAUAAAAGCUACCCCGGGGAUAACAGGCUUAUCUCCCCCAAGAGUCCACAUCGACGGGGAGGUUUGGCACCUCGAUGUCGGCUCAUCGCAUCCUGGGGCUGUAGUCGGUCCCAAGGGUUGGGCUGUUCGCCCAUUAAAGCGGUACGCGAGCUGGGUUCAGAACGUCGUGAGACAGUUCGGUCCCUAUCCGUCGUGGGCGUAGGAAAUUUGAGAGGAGCUGUCCUUAGUACGAGAGGACCGGGAUGGACGCACCGCUGGUGUACCAGUUGUUCUGCCAAGGGCAUAGCUGGGUAGCUAUGUGCGGAAGGGAUAAGUGCUGAAAGCAUCUAAGCAUGAAGCCCCCCUCAAGAUGAGAUUUCCCAUAGCGUAAGCUAGUAAGAUCCCUGAAAGAUGAUCAGGUUGAUAGGUUCGAGGUGGAAGCAUGGUGACAUGUGGAGCUGACGAAUACUAAUAGAUCGAGGACUUAACCAU
RNAcentral lists this ribosomal RNA (2920 nucleotides) under Bacillus cereus. Its description in RNAcentral is "bacterial LSU rRNA". It matches the Rfam family "Bacterial large subunit ribosomal RNA". The record is from RNAcentral. Lineage: Bacteria; Bacillati; Bacillota; Bacilli; Caryophanales; Bacillaceae.